GGGUUGUGAGGUUAAGCGACUAAGCGUACACGGUGGAUGCCCUGGCAGUCAGAGGCGAUGAAGGGCGUGCUAAUCUGCGAUAAGCGCCGGUAAGGUGAUAUGAACCGUUAUAACCGGCGAUACCCGAAUGGGGAAACCCAGUGUGACUCGUCACACUAUCAUUAACUGAAUCCAUAGGUUAAUGAGGCGAACCGGGGGAACUGAAACAUCUAAGUACCCCGAGGAAAAGAAAUCAACCGAGAUUCCCCCAGUAGCGGCGAGCGAACGGGGAGGAGCCCAGAGCCUGAAUCAGCAUGUGUGUUAGUGGAAGCGUCUGGAAAGGCGCGCGAUACAGGGUGACAGCCCCGUACACAAAAGCGCAUGUGCUGUGAGCUCGAUGAGUAGGGCGGGACACGUGGUAUCCUGUCUGAAUACGGGGGGACCAUCCUCCAAGGCUAAAUACUCCUGACUGACCGAUAGUGAACCAGUACCGUGAGGGAAAGGCGAAAAGAACCCCGGCGAGGGGAGUGAAAAAGAACCUGAAACCGUGUACGUACAAGCAGUGGGAGCACCCUUCGGGGUGUGACUGCGUACCUUUUGUAUAAUGGGUCAGCGACUUAUAUUCUGUAGCAAGGUUAACCGAAUAGGGGAGCCGGAGGGAAACCGAGUCUUAAUUGGGCGUUAAGUUGCAGGGUAUAGACCCGAAACCCGGUGAUCUAGCCAUGGGCAGGUUGAAGGUUGGGUAACACUAACUGGAGGACCGAACCGACUAAUGUUGAAAAAUUAGCGGAUGACCUGUGGCUGGGGGUGAAAGGCCAAUCAAACCGGGAGAUAGCUGGUUCUCCCCGAAAGCUAUUUAGGUAGCGCCUCGUGAACUCAUCUCCGGGGGUAGAGCACUGUUUCGGCUAGGGGGCCAUCCCGGCUUACCAACCCGAUGCAAACUGCGAAUACCGGAGAAUGUUAUCACGGGAGACACACGGCGGGUGCUAACGUCCGUCGUGAAGAGGGAAACAACCCAGACCGCCAGCUAAGGUCCCAAAGUCAUGGUUAAGUGGGAAACGAUGUGGGAAGGCCCAGACAGCCAGGAUGUUGGCUUAGAAGCAGCCAUCAUUUAAAGAAAGCGUAAUAGCUCACUGGUCGAGUCGGCCUGCGCGGAAGAUGUAACGGGGCUAAACCAUGCACCGAAGCUGCGGCAGCGACACUGUGUGUUGUUGGGUAGGGGAGCGUUCUGUAAGCCUGUGAAGGUGGCCUGUGAGGGUUGCUGGAGGUAUCAGAAGUGCGAAUGCUGACAUAAGUAACGAUAAAGCGGGUGAAAAGCCCGCUCGCCGGAAGACCAAGGGUUCCUGUCCAACGUUAAUCGGGGCAGGGUGAGUCGACCCCUAAGGCGAGGCCGAAAGGCGUAGUCGAUGGGAAACGGGUUAAUAUUCCCGUACUUGGUGUUACUGCGAAGGGGGGACGGAGAAGGCUAUGUUGGCCGGGCGACGGUUGUCCCGGUUUAAGCGUGUAGGUGUGUGUUCCAGGUAAAUCCGGUUCACUUUAACACUGAGGCGUGACGACGAGGCACUACGGUGCUGAAGCAACAAAUGCCCUGCUUCCAGGAAAAGCCUCUAAGCAUCAGGUAACAUCAAAUCGUACCCCAAACCGACACAGGUGGUCAGGUAGAGAAUACCAAGGCGCUUGAGAGAACUCGGGUGAAGGAACUAGGCAAAAUGGUGCCGUAACUUCGGGAGAAGGCACGCUGACAUGUAGGUGAAGUGAUUUACUCAUGGAGCUGAAGUCAGUCGAAGAUACCAGCUGGCUGCAACUGUUUAUUAAAAACACAGCACUGUGCAAACACGAAAGUGGACGUAUACGGUGUGACGCCUGCCCGGUGCCGGAAGGUUAAUUGAUGGGGUCAGCGCAAGCGAAGCUCCUGAUCGAAGCCCCGGUAAACGGCGGCCGUAACUAUAACGGUCCUAAGGUAGCGAAAUUCCUUGUCGGGUAAGUUCCGACCUGCACGAAUGGCGUAAUGAUGGCCAGGCUGUCUCCACCCGAGACUCAGUGAAAUUGAACUCGCUGUGAAGAUGCAGUGUACCCGCGGCAAGACGGAAAGACCCCGUGAACCUUUACUAUAGCUUGACACUGAACAUUGAGCCUUGAUGUGUAGGAUAGGUGGGAGGCUUUGAAGUGUGGACGCCAGUCUGCAUGGAGCCGACCUUGAAAUACCACCCUUUAAUGUUUGAUGUUCUAACGUGGACCCGUAAUCCGGGUUGCGGACAGUGUCUGGUGGGUAGUUUGACUGGGGCGGUCUCCUCCUAAAGAGUAACGGAGGAGCACGAAGGUUGGCUAAUCCUGGUCGGACAUCAGGAGGUUAGUGCAAUGGCAUAAGCCAGCUUGACUGCGAGCGUGACGGCGCGAGCAGGUGCGAAAGCAGGUCAUAGUGAUCCGGUGGUUCUGAAUGGAAGGGCCAUCGCUCAACGGAUAAAAGGUACUCCGGGGAUAACAGGCUGAUACCGCCCAAGAGUUCAUAUCGACGGCGGUGUUUGGCACCUCGAUGUCGGCUCAUCACAUCCUGGGGCUGAAGUAGGUCCCAAGGGUAUGGCUGUUCGCCAUUUAAAGUGGUACGCGAGCUGGGUUUAGAACGUCGUGAGACAGUUCGGUCCCUAUCUGCCGUGGGCGCUGGAGAACUGAGGGGGGCUGCUCCUAGUACGAGAGGACCGGAGUGGACGCAUCACUGGUGUUCGGGUUGUCAUGCCAAUGGCACUGCCCGGUAGCUAAAUGCGGAAGAGAUAAGUGCUGAAAGCAUCUAAGCACGAAACUUGCCCCGAGAUGAGUUCUCCCUGAGACUUAGAGUCUCCUGAAGGAACGUUGAAGACGACGACGUUGAUAGGCCGGGUGUGUAAGCGCAGCGAUGCGUUGAGCUAACCGGUACUAAUGAACCGUGAGGCUUAACCUUACAACGCCGAAG
RNAcentral lists this ribosomal RNA (2926 nucleotides) under Salmonella enterica subsp. enterica serovar Hvittingfoss str. SA20014981. Its description in RNAcentral is "bacterial LSU rRNA". It matches the Rfam family "Bacterial large subunit ribosomal RNA". Lineage: Bacteria; Pseudomonadati; Pseudomonadota; Gammaproteobacteria; Enterobacterales; Enterobacteriaceae. The record is from RNAcentral.